RNAcentral lists this long non-coding RNA (563 nucleotides) under Hordeum vulgare. Its description in RNAcentral is "long non-coding RNA (HVUL_LNC009811)". Lineage: Eukaryota; Viridiplantae; Streptophyta; Magnoliopsida; Poales; Poaceae. The record is from RNAcentral.
UCCUGAACACCUACCUACGGCAUUCAUAACCCCGCCGUGUUCCCGAUCGAAGAGAGAUCUUCGAAGGGACAGUCACGGUUACUCACACAGUUGGCAUAUUUUAUUAGUUUUUGUUUAAGUUUUCUAAUACCGGAUGUUAACAAAAUAUUCCAAGUUGCCACAUAACCGCGGGCACGGCUUUCCGAAAGAUUAAACCCUGCAGGGGUGCUCCAACUAGUCCAUCACAAACGAACACAGGCCGCAAAGUCAUCCUCUAUCACGAAUCUCGUGAUCUCGUCGGAUUCCUUAGAGGAAAACCUCAACUCUGGGGAAAACCAAAGCCUCACCGGGAUUCCUAUACGCAAGAUAUACCGCUAAGGCAAGACAAGGCUAGCAGGACCUCCCGUCGUGUCGACGACCCUGAUAAGAGCCGCGUAUCUCAGUCUCAGGACACGACAGAUGAGCUAGACGUCGGGAUGGCUAAACCUCUGGGUGACCAGUGGGGCCCCGGACAUCGCUCAGGUGGGACCAACACUCAUGGGGAGCACUGGCCCGGGUUGUUGAUUAAAUUCCUCGGGGUAGCU